Molecule: long non-coding RNA, 381 nt
Organism: Magallana angulata
Lineage: Eukaryota; Metazoa; Mollusca; Bivalvia; Ostreida; Ostreidae
Exons: 2
Source: RefSeq, a predicted model, not a curated record
UUAAAAGUGCAACUUUAUAUUUCUGAAUCAUUUUUAAUUGGACUUUCCAAGUAAACUCUGUAUAAAAAGAUUUGGACCGUACCUCUUUUUCAAAGUAAUUCCAUCGUUAUCAGCAAAUUAUGACUAAAGUAUUCUGCAUUGUGUUGUUAGGAUUGCUCUGCAUGCAAGCAAUGGCGUUCUAUACUCCGGAGAAGCAAGGACUAUGCCCGCCUGAGACCCCUGGUGUUGGAACUAUUUGCCUGGUGUCGUGCCGGACAGACAGGGAGUGUCCCGGGAUUCAGAAGUGUUGCCUAGAUGGGUGUCUUGUGGAGUGUCGAAAUCCAGUCUAUGGAUAUCAGCGUUCUUCAAGAUAUUAAAAAUAUUAAAGCAGAGACCGAUUUA